GAGUGUUGGCCUAUUACCGACCCUUUAGUCGUCUCUAUAGUUUCCAUGAGAUGUCGCCGUCUUCCUCUAGGCUUCAUGGUUUAUCGUAUCCUCGAUGCUUUGAUUAGUUCCAGUAACAAUGGUGUUUCUGAAUGUAGUGGUCAAAGUUCAAUUUCGUCGUUUUGUCUAUGGUUUUUACUCAUCGGUGACGUUACUGGAUUUCUUCAUUCAAUGAUUAUCAUUAACGCUUUCACUAACGCCCCCUUCCCACUCCUUACACGGUUACUUCUUUCUUCCAUGUGGCUCGAUUCUGUUUCUCUAUGGGCGACACUGAUGAUCUGAACAUUACUCCGAAGAGCACUAAGAAGCUUUGUACUUGAAAGAGGAGAUGAUAUCUUUGUUGGGCAAUGCCAAUACAUAUUCACGGG
Long non-coding RNA from Raphanus sativus (radish), 407 nucleotides. RefSeq lists it as uncharacterized. The record is from RefSeq and is a predicted model, not a curated record. The transcript has 3 exons. NCBI's taxonomy places the organism in Eukaryota, Viridiplantae, Streptophyta, Magnoliopsida, Brassicales, Brassicaceae.